Molecule: ribosomal RNA, 504 nt
Filed under: uncultured bacterium
Lineage: Bacteria
Description: bacterial SSU rRNA
Rfam family: Bacterial small subunit ribosomal RNA
Source: RNAcentral
GACGAACGCUGGCGGCGUGGAUUAGGCAUGCAAGUCGAACGGUAUCAUCCUUUCGGGGGUGAGAGAGUGGCGAACUGGUGAGUAACACGUAGGUUAUCUACCCUCAAGACGGGGACAACCCAGGGAAACUUGGGCUAAUACCGGAUGUGAGCAACUUUUAGUUGUUUGAAAGGUGGCGUAAGCUGUCGCUUGGGGAUGAGCCUGCGUCCUAUUAGUUAGUUGGUGAGGUAACGGCUCACCUAGGCAAUGAUAGGUAGGCGGCCUUAACGGGUGGUCGCCCACACUGGGAUUGAGAUACGGCCCAGACUCCUACGGGAGGCAGCAGUCGAGAAUAGUCUACAAUGGUCGGAAGACUGAUAGUGCGACGCCGCGUGAACGAUGAAUCCCUUCGGGGUGUAAAGUUCUUUUAUAUGUGAGCAGUGCUUCUUACAUUAACAGUAUGGGGAGAGAGAUAUUAGCAUAUGAAUAAGCAACGGCUAACUCCGUGCCAGCAGCCGCGGUAAU